AGGACGAACGCUGGCGGCGUGCUUAACACAUGCAAGUCGAGCGGUAAGGCCUUUCGGGGUACACGAGCGGCGAACGGGUGAGUAACACGUGGGUGAUCUGCCCCGCACUCUGGGAUAAGCCUGGGAAACUGGGUCUAAUACCGGAUAUGACCUGCUCUCGCAUGGGGGUGGGUGGAAAGAUUUAUCGGUGCAGGAUGGGCCCGCGGCCUAUCAGCUUGUUGGUGGGUAAUGGCCUACCAAGGCGACGACGGGUAGCCGACCUGAGAGGGUGACCGGCCACACUGGGACUGAGACACGGCCCAGACUCCUACGGGAGGCAGCAGUGGGGAAUAUUGCACAAUGGGCGAAAGCCUGAUGCAGCGACGCCGCGUGAGGAUGAAGGCCUUCGGGUUGUAAACCUCUUUCAGCAGGACGAAGCGACAAGUGACGGUACCUGCAGAAGAAGCACCGGCUAACGUACGUGCCCAGCGAGCCCGC
RNAcentral lists this ribosomal RNA (477 nucleotides) under uncultured soil bacterium. RNAcentral describes it as "bacterial SSU rRNA". It matches the Rfam family "Bacterial small subunit ribosomal RNA", at positions 26 to 518 of the family's 1533-position model. The record is from RNAcentral.